ACCUGGGUGGCUCAGUCGGUUGGGCGUCUGACUUCGGCUCAGGUCGUGAUCUCGUGGUUUGUGGGUUCGAGCCCCACGUCAGGCU
RNAcentral lists this transfer RNA (85 nucleotides) under Felis catus (domestic cat). It matches the Rfam family "tRNA". Rfam says of the family: Transfer RNA (tRNA) molecules are approximately 80 nucleotides in length. Their secondary structure includes four short double-helical elements and three loops (D, anti-codon, and T loops). Further hydrogen bonds mediate the characteristic L-shaped molecular structure. tRNAs have two regions of fundamental functional importance: the anti-codon, which is responsible for specific mRNA codon recognition, and the 3' end, to which the tRNAs corresponding amino acid is attached (by aminoacyl-tRNA synthetases). tRNAs cope with the degeneracy of the genetic code in two manners: having more than one tRNA (with a specific anti-codon) for a particular amino acid; and 'wobble' base-pairing, i.e. permitting non-standard base-pairing at the 3rd anti-codon position. Lineage: Eukaryota; Metazoa; Chordata; Mammalia; Carnivora; Felidae. RNAcentral also lists the same sequence under 2 other names. The record is from Rfam by way of RNAcentral.